UGCUGCUAGCUGGGGAUCCUGAGGCUACCGCAUUCUUCUUGUCUGGGUGCACGGUGCAUGGGCAGUGGGUGAACUGGUAGAGAGCAAGAUGGGGAAUUGCAUCGACACCACGGCGCGGGUGGAUCACAGCAUGAACAAUGCUGCCUACCCAUCAAAAGUGACAGCAAGACAAGUUUGUCGUCAGUCCCUUCCACAAUUAAGAGCAACUCAAGUCGUUCAACGCUGACUCUUCCAUCAAUGAGAGAUCGAAAUGAGCUUCCUACUCCUCGGAUAGAAGGUGAAAUCUUGUCAUCUUCUAAUUUGAAGGCAUUCACGUUCAAUGAUCUGAAAAAUGCAACCAAGAACUUCCGACCGGACAGCCUUCUUGGGGAAGGAGGGUUUGGGCAUGUCUACAAAGGUUGGAUUGAUGAGCACACGCUUGCUCCUUCAAGACCUGGGAGUGGUAUGGUUGUUGCUGUGAAGAAGCUUAAACCGGAAGGUUUUCAAGGACACAAGGAAUGGCUGACAGAGGUUGAUUACCUUGGCCAACUUCACCACAAGAAUCUUGUUAAGCUCAUUGGUUAUUGCUCAGAUGGUGACAACCGGCUUCUGGUGUAUGAAUUUAUGCCCAAGGGAAGUUUGGAGAACCAUCUGUUUAGAAGUGUGUGCUUCAUCUCUAUGGCUUU
This is an RNA transcript of Zea mays, 665 nucleotides long. RefSeq lists it as uncharacterized. The record is from RefSeq and is a predicted model, not a curated record. The transcript is spliced from 3 exons. Lineage: Eukaryota; Viridiplantae; Streptophyta; Magnoliopsida; Poales; Poaceae.